AAAGGAACGAGAUCCAGAGGAAUCGGAAACAGUUGGAUGAAUAGCGCUUUGUUUACUCGCACACAACCGCGAGCUCGGAGCUGGGCUGGGGGUGGAACCAACCCGAGGCCGGGCCUCCCCGCCAGGAUUCCACAGGCCACCCCAGCGCCUCCCACCCCCUGAGAAAGCGCUUUGUAAACGAAAUCUCUAUGCAAAUGUUGUUUUAUUAUUAUUACGCCACCCCUGCCCCCAGGGCUGGGGACAUCUGAAGUGCUUUCAAAGGCGCGCUCUGGGGCUCUAACUGGGGCUCUAACUGGGGCAGGCUGUCCCCUUCCCACCCCCAGCCGGGGCCCUGAACUGGCCUUCCCUCCAACUGGACGGAGCCAAUGUUUGCAGAGUCGCACUGGAACCCACAGAACCCGACGGCCUCCUUCCUGGACGCAGCGGGGAGAGGUGGGCAGCGCCCUGCAGGCCCGAGCCGGCCUACAAGAAGGAGCCUGCUGGCUUUUGUUCUCCCAUGACUGUGGCCCCCUCGGCUCCUCCUCCACUGGUUGUUCUUUUGAACUCUGGAUCAGAAAGGAAAAUAGCUGGAGAGAGAGAGAGAGAGAGAGAGAGAGAGAGAGAGAGAGAGACACCUGGUGCCGAGGCGGGGCCCAGGGCCGGGCAGGAAGGGAUCCAAGAGUUUCCAGAAGCCCAGGCCUCCCUCUAGCUUCAAUCCCAGGGAGGGGGGACGGUGGGGGAGGCCGAGCUGGGGGCUGUGGGAGGCUGGGCCACCCAGGCCCCUGGGCCAGACGCCCUAUUCCUGUGCAUGGGUUGGUAAUCCAAGGACACAUUCCGUCUGUCAACACACCAGCCUGGCAGGGCAGGCGGGCAAAUGAGGACACGAAGACUCAGCGAGGCCAAGGGCACACGGGGUUCUUUCUUCCGCUCUGGUGGCCAGAAAGUGUUCCCCGGCAAAAGCUGAGCAUGGAGGAGGCCCCCAGGCCCACUCCUCCCUCCAUCCAGCACCAGCAUCCCCUCCUCUUCGGGUCAAGGUCUCGGCCUCCUCCCGGACUCGCUGUCCAACCUCCGUGUGCCCGGUGCCCAGAGGGUGUGCCAAGGACGUCGCCCAGAAGAGCUCCCCACUCCUGACGUGCAACCAUAGAUUUGGCGCAAGAAUGAUGACGCCCGGCACUCACGGCCUUCGCUUACCCAACAACAUGCCUUCUGGGGUGGGUCCAACCGUCUCCCCCAAAAAGGUAGACUAAAUCCUUACCCCUGGUACCCUGUGAAUGUGACCUGAUUCGGAAAUGGGAUCUUUGCGGAUGUAAUGAGGUGAUGGAUCUCAAGGCGACCAAGCUGGAGUUAGGGUCCUUGCGAGAGAGGAGAGGGAGUUUGGGACGCGCGGAGACGGCCGGGACGCGGAGGAGGAGGCAGGACCCGGGCAGCUGCCGUGGGGCGCUGAGGCCAACCGGCCACCCCCAGAGGCCCAGACAGAGGCGGGGGAUGGUGCUCCCCCGGGGGGUUCCUGAAGGAGCCUGCCCUGCCCACACCACCCUCUCGGACUUGUGGCCCCCGUGAUGGGAGAGAGCACACGUCUGGUGUCUCAAGCCACCACCUCUGCGGCAAUUUGUUACGGUGGCCCCAGCAAACUCAUAAUCCUCCCACCUGGCCAUUCUGUUUCAGAGGACCUCGCUCCUCUGGCAGAUGAGCAAAUAAACCCACAGGGAAGCG
Long non-coding RNA from Vulpes vulpes (red fox), 1692 nucleotides. NCBI's taxonomy places the organism in Eukaryota, Metazoa, Chordata, Mammalia, Carnivora, Canidae. The record is from Ensembl.